AACAUUGUGGAAGCCAUGGAGCGU
RNAcentral lists this non-coding RNA (24 nucleotides) under Cricetulus griseus (Chinese hamster). Lineage: Eukaryota; Metazoa; Chordata; Mammalia; Rodentia; Cricetidae. The record is from RNAcentral.